UUUAAAAAAAAAAAAAAAUCUUUAGGACUUUGAAUUCUCCAGUUAAAGUGAGUCGAGUCAAUUAUAAAAGAAAAAAAAAAAAAAUCUGUUCAUUGAAAUAGUACAUCCAUUGAAAUUUUGGACUUCUUGGGCCUAGCAAACACAUACACCCUAGGGGUGAUGCAUGUGCAUACAAUUUCUCACGUGAAAUCUAGACAUAGCUGGUGAAAAUAUUCUUUAAAUAUAUUAAAUAGCUGAUAUUUAAAAUUAAGUUUGAAAUAUUUUAAUUAUAAAUAUUUUUUCAAAAAAUUUAUUUUUAACAAUGCUUUAAAUAAAAAAAAAAAAACUUUUUUUAGCAUUCCCAUCAUAGCUUCAAAUAAAGCUUAACAGUUAAGAGAUUACGUACUAGUGAAAGUUGAAACGCGCAUUCUCAAGCAUUUUCU
This 422-nucleotide unclassified non-coding RNA is filed under the name Hevea brasiliensis (rubber tree). Lineage: Eukaryota; Viridiplantae; Streptophyta; Magnoliopsida; Malpighiales; Euphorbiaceae. The record is from RNAcentral.